UGAUGCUCAAUGUUUUUUAUCUCUUUGGUGU
RNAcentral lists this non-coding RNA (31 nucleotides) under Rattus norvegicus (Norway rat). Lineage: Eukaryota; Metazoa; Chordata; Mammalia; Rodentia; Muridae. The record is from RNAcentral.